GAGAAGAACGUAGCGAAAUGCGAUAAGUAGUGUGAAUUGCAGAAUUCAGUGAAUCAUCGAAUCUUUGAACGCACAUUGCGCCCCUUGGUAUUCCAUGGGGCAUGCCUGUUCGAGCGUCAUUUGUACCUUCAAGCCUUGCUUGGUGUUGGGUGUUUGUCUCGCCUCUGCGCGCAGACUCGCCUCAAAACAAUUGGCAGCCGGCGUAUUGAUUUCGGAGCGCAGUACAUCUCGCGCUUUGCACUCAGAACGACGACGUCCAAAAGUACAUUUUUACACUCUUGACCUCGGAUCAGGUAGGGAUACCCGCUGAACUUAAGCAUAUCAAUAAGCGGAGGA
This 336-nucleotide unclassified non-coding RNA is filed under the name soil metagenome. RNAcentral describes it as "partial contains 5.8S ribosomal RNA, internal transcribed spacer 2, and large subunit ribosomal RNA". The stretch from base 3 to 119 matches the Rfam family "5.8S ribosomal RNA", at positions 38 to 154 of the family's 154-position model. The record is from RNAcentral.